This 1340-nucleotide long non-coding RNA is filed under the name Triticum aestivum (bread wheat). RNAcentral describes it as "long non-coding RNA (TAES_LNC009696)". The record is from RNAcentral. Lineage: Eukaryota; Viridiplantae; Streptophyta; Magnoliopsida; Poales; Poaceae.
CGGCCGCCAAGACAGAGUCCGCGUUCGGCGCUGCUCCUUGAUGUCUCUACGUCAAGAACUCGACUCCCAGAAUACACAGGUGAGCAGCUUGUCUUCAGGGGCGGACCCAGACUAAAAACUGACUGGGGGCACUCAUCAAUAAGAAAACUCAAAAAGGCUUAUAAACCUCACACUAUGUCAUACACAAAUGCUCUCUUCGAUCCAUAUUAAUUGUCAAGUGAGCCACAAUCAAUAUGGAUAUGAGGGAGUAGCAGUUUUCAAUAAGUCAUAAGAUACUUCAACCAAGUUCUAAAAAAAAAAACUUCAUCCAACAGAGCCAUGGUGAGUUUAUCACUAAAGUGAACAUACCUUAUAAAAAGAGUUUAUAUCUCAAUAGUACAUAGAUUGCAAAAGAGAAUAUGUUGUCUCUAACAUAAAUGCCGCUACCUGCAAAGAAGAAACACAUAUUUGGAUUAGCUUCUUAAAUGCUAAUGGAGAUGGUAAACAUGUAAAAGAUGCAAUGUAUUAGACCAUUACAUUUCCACACGAUGAUCUUUCAUUUUAUGGAAAUGAUGCAAUUUCUCAACAGUGACAAUGGUAACGAGUGGUGGCGUUACUAUCUCUUUAUUUCUUUAUCAAAUACUUCUCCAUUAUCUUCCUUCUUCCCUGCCAAAUCAUUGAAAUACUAACUAUAAAGAGUUUAGAUAAAAGGAUGCUAGUAUCAGCAGGCUAGCACGCGAGUACUAGUUCUGUAUUAGUAAAUCCGAGAGUAGAAAAUCCAGUCUCAACAGAAUGGGUUCCCAGAUUGAAUUUCAUAGAAAAUUUGAUUAUAACAAAGCAUGCUACUAUGUUAAGAAAAAAGCAUGGUACUAGCAGGCUAGUACACUGCACGUCUGCACACAAGUACUAGCACUGUAUUCUCAAAUCCUAGAAAAUGACCUAGCAGUUCUAUACUAGCUACUCUGCUGUAGUGUGUCACAUUUUAAUCCUAUCAAAUUUGAUUAGAAAAAGUACAUGGCUAAUAAGAUUAGCAGUCCUAUACUAGCACAAACAGAAUUUUUGCAUUUGAUUUGACAAGAAUCAAAACCAGAAAUCCAAAAAAGAAAAAAAAAAUCCUUUCACGAAUGGAUCAGCUCAAGAAGAACAAACCUAGUUUCAGAGUUCGCCAGUUGAGGAUGAAGGAUGAGGAUGAUGAGCAAGGGAGUGACCAGCCUCCCGUGACCUACAUAGGCAGGCCGGCCGCCGGCGGGGGCGCGCGGCGGACUCUGCGGAGCAACGGAGGGAGAUCGUGGCAGCAGGCGGCGGUCGAGCCGACGGUUCGUUUGGUUUGUAUAAUUAAUUUCCAGCAAGAAUCGACGCAG